GGGCCUCUAGCUCAGUUGGUAGAGCAGCGGACUUUUAAUCCGCGGGUCGUGGGUUCGAGGCCCACGGGGCCCA
Molecule: transfer RNA, 73 nt
Filed under: Sinomonas flava
Lineage: Bacteria; Bacillati; Actinomycetota; Actinomycetes; Micrococcales; Micrococcaceae
Also listed under: 3 other names
Description: tRNA-Lys
Rfam family: tRNA
About the family: Transfer RNA (tRNA) molecules are approximately 80 nucleotides in length. Their secondary structure includes four short double-helical elements and three loops (D, anti-codon, and T loops).
Source: RNAcentral